AGUGAACGCUGGCGGUAGGCCUAACACAUGCAAGUCGAACGGCAGCACAGUAAGAGCUUGCUCUUACGGGUGGCGAGUGGCGGACGGGUGAGGAAUACAUCGGAAUCUACUUUUUCGUGGGGGAUAACGUAGGGAAACUUACGCUAAUACCGCAUACGACCUACGGGUGAAAGCAGGGGAUCUUCGGACCUUGCGCGAUUGAAUGAGCCGAUGUCGGAUUAGCUAGUUGGCGGGGUAAAGGCCCACCAAGGCGACGAUCCGUAGCUGGUCUGAGAGGAUGAUCAGCCACACUGGAACUGAGACACGGUCCAGACUCCUACGGGAGGCAGCAGUGGGGAAUAUUGGACAAUGGGCGCAAGCCUGAUCCAGUCAUACCGCGUGGGUGAAGAAGGCCUUCGGGUUGUAAAGCCCUUUUGUUGGGAAAGAAAAGCAGCAGGUUAAUACCCCGCUGUUCUGACGGUACCCAAAGAAUAAGCAUCGGCUAACUUCGUG
RNAcentral lists this ribosomal RNA (492 nucleotides) under uncultured bacterium. RNAcentral's name for it is "partial 16S ribosomal RNA". It matches the Rfam family "Bacterial small subunit ribosomal RNA", at positions 29 to 507 of the family's 1533-position model. The record is from RNAcentral.